RNAcentral lists this ribosomal RNA (446 nucleotides) under uncultured bacterium. RNAcentral's name for it is "partial 16S ribosomal RNA". It matches the Rfam family "Bacterial small subunit ribosomal RNA", at positions 338 to 795 of the family's 1533-position model. The record is from RNAcentral.
CCUACGGGGGGCAGCAGUCGAGAAUCAUUCACAAUGGGGGAAACCCUGAUGGUGCGACGCCGCGUGGGGGAAUGAAGGUCUUCGGAUUGUAAACCCCUGUCAUGUGGGAGCAAAUUAAAAAGAUAGUACCACAAGAGGAAGAGACGGCUAACUCGGUGCCAGCAGCCGCGGUAAUACAGAGGUCUCAAGCGUUGUUCGGAAUCACUGGGCGUAAAGCGUGCGUAGGCUGUUUCGUAAGUCGUGUGUGAAAGGCGCGGGCUCAACCCGCGGACGGCACAUGAUACUGCGAGACUAGAGUAAGGGAGGGGGAACCGGAAUUCUCGGUGUAGCAGUGAAAUGCGUAGAUAUCGAGAGGAACACUCGUGGCGAAGGCGGGUUCCUGGACAUUAACUGACGCUGAGGCACGAAGGCCAGGGGAGCGAAAGGGAUUAGAUACCCUUGUAGUC